This 73-nucleotide transfer RNA is filed under the name Apaloderma vittatum (bar-tailed trogon). It matches the Rfam family "tRNA". Rfam says of the family: Transfer RNA (tRNA) molecules are approximately 80 nucleotides in length. Their secondary structure includes four short double-helical elements and three loops (D, anti-codon, and T loops). Lineage: Eukaryota; Metazoa; Chordata; Aves; Trogoniformes; Trogonidae. The record is from Rfam by way of RNAcentral.
GGCUGGUUAGCUCAGUCGGUUAGGGUGUGGUGCUGAUAACACCAAGGUUUGGGGUUCGAUCCCCAUUCGAUCC